This 404-nucleotide ribosomal RNA is filed under the name Verrucomicrobiota bacterium. Its description in RNAcentral is "Verrucomicrobia bacterium partial 16S ribosomal RNA". It matches the Rfam family "Bacterial small subunit ribosomal RNA", at positions 355 to 776 of the family's 1533-position model. Lineage: Bacteria; Pseudomonadati; Verrucomicrobiota. The record is from RNAcentral.
UGGGGAAUAUUGCACAAUGGGCGGAAGCCUGAUGCAGCGACGCCGCGUGGGGGAUGACGGCCUCCGGGUUGUAAAGCUCUUUCACCGGUGAAGAUAAUGACGGUAACCGGAGAAGAAGCCCCGGCUAACUUCGUGCCAGCAGCCGCGGUAAUACGAAGGGGGCUAGCGUUGUUCGGAUUUACUGUGCGUAAAGCGCACGUAGGCGGACUAUUAAGUCAGGGGUGAAAUCCCGGGGCUCAACCCCGGAACUGCCUUUGAUACUGGUAGUCUUGAGUUCGAGAGAGGUGAGUGGAAUUCCGGGUGUAGAGGGGAAAUUCGUAGAUAUUCGGAGAAACACCAGUGGCGAAGGCGGCUCACUGGCUCGAUACUGACGCUGAGGUGCGAAAGCGUGGGGAGCAAACAGG